GAUGAACGCUGGCGGCGUGCCUAACACAUGCAAGUCGAGCGGACAGACGCGGAGCUUUCUCCUCUGAGGGUAGCGGCGGACGGGUGGGUAAUAAGUGGAUAACAUACCUCUAAGUCUGGGAGGACUUCGGGAAGAAGGUGCUACUAAUACAUAAUAUAUUGAACCGGUUGGUUCAUUGGUGAAAGAAGGUUUUGCUGUCACUUGUAGAUGGAUUCGCGCCGCAUUAGCUAGUUGGUAAGGUAACGGCGUACCAAGGCUACGAUGCGUAGCCGACCUGAGAGGAUGAUCGGCCACACUGGAACUGAGACACGGUCCAGACUCCUACGGGAGGCAGCAGUAGGGAAUAUUCCGCAAUGGGCGAAAGCCUGACGGAGCAACGCCGCGUGAGUGAAGAAGGUCUUCGGAUCGUAAAACUCUUUUAUUAGGGAAGAACAACUGUGUAAUAAUCUAUGGAUGUCUUGACGGUACCUAAACAAUAAGCACCGGCUAACUACGUG
RNAcentral lists this ribosomal RNA (497 nucleotides) under uncultured bacterium. RNAcentral's name for it is "partial 16S ribosomal RNA". It matches the Rfam family "Bacterial small subunit ribosomal RNA", at positions 28 to 507 of the family's 1533-position model. The record is from RNAcentral.